UAAAGUGAUGACAAAUGGAUGCUC
Molecule: non-coding RNA, 24 nt
Filed under: Arabidopsis thaliana (thale cress)
Lineage: Eukaryota; Viridiplantae; Streptophyta; Magnoliopsida; Brassicales; Brassicaceae
Source: RNAcentral